GGGUCAGUAGGUUGGUCGUGCCACCGGUACGUACUGGUCUCACUGAUUCCUCCUUCCUGAAGAACCGUAAUGCCAUUAAUUUGGCGUUGCGGGGAAACAGGACUGUUACUUUGAACAAAUUAGAGUGUUUAAAGCAAGCUAACGCUUGAAUACAUUAGCAUGGAAUAAUGAAAUAGGACGAUCGAUCCUAUUUUGUUGGUUUCUAGGAUUGACGUA
This 216-nucleotide ribosomal RNA is filed under the name Glomeromycotina sp. RNAcentral's name for it is "partial small subunit ribosomal RNA". The stretch from base 44 to 216 matches the Rfam family "Eukaryotic small subunit ribosomal RNA", at positions 690 to 864 of the family's 1831-position model. The record is from RNAcentral. Lineage: Eukaryota; Fungi; Glomeromycota.